GCUUACGUAGCUCAGUAGGGAGAGCACUCGGCUGAUAACCGGGAGGUCAAAGGUUCGAACCCUUUCGUAAGCA
Molecule: transfer RNA, 73 nt
Filed under: Paenibacillus sp. P26
Lineage: Bacteria; Bacillati; Bacillota; Bacilli; Caryophanales; Paenibacillaceae
Also listed under: 1 other name
Description: tRNA-Ile
Rfam family: tRNA
About the family: Transfer RNA (tRNA) molecules are approximately 80 nucleotides in length. Their secondary structure includes four short double-helical elements and three loops (D, anti-codon, and T loops).
Source: RNAcentral